Molecule: RNA transcript, 2811 nt
Organism: Syzygium oleosum
Lineage: Eukaryota; Viridiplantae; Streptophyta; Magnoliopsida; Myrtales; Myrtaceae
Exons: 6
Source: RefSeq, a predicted model, not a curated record
AGCCUCUUGCUUCCUCUUUCCUUCUUCACGGCACGACGCGAUUCAUCGUCAAUCUCGCGAAGGAACUUCCGAUCGCCGCCGCGAGCACACGGCGAAGUUUCCGGUCGAAUCGCUAAUUUAUCUCGUCAAUCCGAAACCCCAGGCCGCCGGAGGUAGCCUCGCCGGUCGCGUUUUACGAACGUCGAUCGUCGCUACUCAUGGUAAUUGACCCGAUCGAGUAGGCUUUCUUUCCUUCUUCCUGUUUGUCGGAUUCGCCGGCCCCCUGGUCCUGCGAUGGCGAGCGCCGACGACGAGGACGCCGCCUCCGAUGCCGCCGUCCUCAGCGACGUGGAGGAGGACGAUCCGGUGUCGGUCGCCGCCGUCGAGGAGCCGUCGCCGGACGACGUGUCGGUGGAGCGGCUCCGCGGGGUGCUGGCCGAGCUUGAUCGCGAGAGGCACGCGCGGGGGGAGGCGGAGAAGUCGAAGUCCGAGCUGCAGGGCCAGUUCAAUCGGCUGAAGGCGCUCGCGCACGAGGCGAUUAAGAAGCGAGACGAGUGGGGGAGGCAGAGGGACGACGCCCUGCGCGAGAAGGAAGAGGUCUCGAGAUCCAAGGAGGCGGCCGAUGCGGAGCUGGCCGAGGCCAAUCGGGUGAAGGAUGAGGUUUUGAGUCAGAAGGACGACGUGACGAAGCAAUUGGAUGAAGCGCUCAAAGUGAAGGAUGGUCUGCGGUCGGAGAUCGAGAGUUCUGCGCAUAUGCUCGUGACGGGCAUCGAGAAGAUAUCGGGGAAAGUCAGCAACUUCAACAAUUUCGCCGCCGGAGGAUUGCCGAGGUCGCACAAGUACUCGGGAUUGCCUGCGGUGGCGUAUGGAGUGAUUAAGAGGACUAAUGAGAUAGUUGAAGAGCUCCUCAGACAGAUUGAUACCACUACGAAAUCCAGAAAUGAAGCGAGAGAACAGAUGGAGCAGAGGAACUAUGAGAUUGCCAUUGAGGUUUCGCAGCUUGAAGCGGCAAUUAGUAGCUUGAGGGAAGAGGUUGCCAAGAAAAGUAAUGCCGUGGAUAGUUUGCAGAGAGCAUUGAACGAGAAGGAUGAGAAGGUUGCGGGCUCCGAAAGGGAGAUGUCAGAGAAAGUAAGUUCGCUGGAAAAGGAGAAUUCAGAGUUAAGAGAUUUAGUAGUUGAAUUCGAUGAUAAGUUGAAGAGCUUGGAAUCGAGGAUUGAGGCGCAGAGGCCUUUGCUGAUCGAACAAUUGGAUCAGGUUUCGAAGAUUCAUCAGAGAACUUGUAAUGCGAUCAGGAUUGUAGAUGCCGGUAAUUCUGAACAAUCCGACUUGGCAGAGUCUUUAUUUUUACCACAAGAUACCGAUGUGGAAGAAAGCGUACAUGCCUCGCUGGCGGGAAUGAAAUCCGUUCAUGACUUAAUGGGGAUUGUUAUUUCGAAGACGAAGGAUUUGGUAGAGGAGAACAAUCGCAAAGUGAAGGGUCUGAAUGAAACGGUUGAUAGAUUGGUGAAGGAGAAAGAGCAGAUUGGGUCACUGCUCAGAAGCGCUUUGUCAAAGAGGAUGUCAUUAGACUCAUCUUCUAGAACCAGCGACUUGUUUCAGGCUGCAGAAAAUGGUUUGAGAAAGGCAGGGAUAGAUUUCAAAUUUAGCAAACACGCGGAGGAUAAAAAAGUUGUAGGCCUUGGUGGUCAUGAGGUGGAUGAGAUGGAGACAGAGGAGGAUGAAAUAUACAAUUUGGCUGGUGCUUUGGAAAAUAUUGUUAAGGAGUCCCAGCUAGAGAUAGUGGAACUUCGACAUUCUGUGGAGGAACUAAGGGCAGAGUCGAGUUUACUUAAAGAGCAUGUUGAGGCACAGGCAAAGGAGCUCAAUCUUAGAAAGCAUCAGAUUGAGGAACUUGAAGAGAAGGAGAGAUUGGCAAAUGAAAGUAUUGAAGGGCUUAUGAUGGAUAUUGCUACCGCUGAAGAAGAAAUUGCUAGAUGGAAAGUUGCAGCAGAGCAAGAAGCUGAUGCUGGAAAAUCUGUUGAGAAGGAGCUUACUGUAGAGUUGUUUGCUCUCAAGCAAGAACUUGAAGAGGCAAAGCAGGCCAUGUUGGAAUUGGAGAAAAAGCUAAAAUUCAAAGAAGAGACGGCGGCGGCGGCCAUGGCAGCGAGAGAUGCAGCUGAGAAAUCACUGAGGUUGGCGGAUCUGAGGGCGUCAAGACUAAGAGAUAGAGUAGAGGAAUUAACCCGUCAGCUUGAAGAGUCCGACCUGCAGGGAGAAGCAAGGAGGAACCGCAGGGGACCAAGAUAUGUAUGUUGGCCUUGGCAGUGGCUUGGGUUCGACUUAGUGGGUGUUCAAAGAUUUGAGACACUGGAGCAAAACUCUAAUGAGAUGGAGCUUUCGGAACCCUUUUUAUAGUACUCUGAAAACUACAGUUAUGGUGAUUUAAAGUAACGAAACGUUCACGAAGCAGUGGUUUCAAGUGACAAAUUUUUUAGCGACACUGACGCCAGCUCAGCGCUCCCCGUAAGGAUCAGUUCUUCCAAUCGAAAUCAGCUAAGACAGACGACGAAAUGAAACCCGUGGCCGCUGUGGUUUGCUGUCAAAUGCAACGGGACCGGAAGAUGCUUUUCAUUUCGACCGGAUGAGUUUACCUUUCCUUCGAAGCUUAAUUGCAUAAGACGCUACAGGGGAAGACCAGGGUAACCUCAGAACACUCAUUUACAUAAAGCUCUAGUUGGACCUUGACAACUCCUCGUAUGGUUCAAGUAGACAUUGGAACAUAAAUGUUGAUGAGCCAGCAAAAUUCAAAAGUGAAAGAUUGAAUGAAUACACAUAAGCCCUAUCUUCGGAUCA